RNAcentral lists this ribosomal RNA (589 nucleotides) under uncultured fungus. Its description in RNAcentral is "SSU rRNA". It matches the Rfam family "Eukaryotic small subunit ribosomal RNA", at positions 447 to 1041 of the family's 1831-position model. Lineage: Eukaryota; Fungi. The record is from RNAcentral.
AAUCCCGACACGGGGAGGUAGUGACAAUAAAUAACAAUAUAGGAUCCUCUCGGGUCUUAUAAUUGGAAUGAGUACAAUUUAAAUCCCUUAACGAGGAACAAUUGGAGGGCAAGUCUGGUGCCAGCAGCCGCGGUAAUUCCAGCUCCAAUAGCGUAUAUUAAAGUUGUUGCAGUUAAAAAGCUCGUAGUUGAACUUCAGGCCUGGCUGGGUGGUCUGCCUAACGGUGUGUACUGUCCGGCUGGGCCUUACCUCUUGGUGAGCCGGCAUGCCCUUCACUGGGUGUGUUGGGGAACCAGGACUUUUACCUUGAGAAAAUUAGAGUGUUCAAAGCAGGCCUAUGCCUGAAUACAUUAGCAUGGAAUAAUAAAAUAGGACGUGCGGUUCUAUUUUGUUGGUUUCUAGAGUCGCCGUAAUGAUUAAUAGGGAUAGUUGGGGGCAUUAGUAUUCAGUUGCUAGAGGUGAAAUUCUUGGAUUUACUGAAGACUAACUAUUGCGAAAGCAUUUGCCAAGGAUGUUUUCAUUAAUCAAGAACGAAGGUUAGGGGAUCGAAAACGAUCAGAUACCGUUGUAGUCUUAACAGUAAACUAUG